This 909-nucleotide long non-coding RNA is filed under the name Homo sapiens (human). Its description in RNAcentral is "HSALNT0368767". Lineage: Eukaryota; Metazoa; Chordata; Mammalia; Primates; Hominidae. The record is from RNAcentral.
CUUCGAGACCAGCCUGGCCAACAUGGUGAAACCCCUUCUCUACUAAAAAUACAAAAAUUAGCCUGGCGUGGUGGCACACAACUAUAGUCCUAGCUACUCAGGAGGCUGAGGCAGGAGAAUCACUUGAACUGGGGAGGCGGAGGUAGCUGUGAGCCAAGACUGCACCACUGCACCCCAGCCUGGGCGACAGAGCAAGACUGUCUCAAAAAAAAAAAAAAAAAAAAAAAGAUUUCAUAUGAAAAGUCAUCUCAGAUGUUACUCGCUGGAAGUGGUGGGAAUCAUAAAAAACAACCAGGACCUUGCAUCCUAGUAUAGAAGCCACAACUGUGGAAGCUUAACAGCCAGGCAAAUGCCCACAAACCACCACCCUCUGCAUUGGAUGCAUAUGUCCCUGACCUCGCAAGUGAAAAAGAGAGGAAGACGGCGACACCUCCAGGCUUCAGACUCAUUAAUCCUGUGAAUCGUGACCCACUCUUAAAACCAAGGAAGAGGGAAGUUUGGACACAGACACACACAGACAAGAGAAUACCAUGUGACAAAGGCAGAGAUUGGAAUGAUACAGCUGCAAGCCAGGGAUGCCAAGGAUUGCAGGUGAAGAGUCAAGGAAGGAUUCUACCCAGAGUUGCACGGCCUUAUUGACACCUUGAUUUGGGCUUCUAGACUCCAGAAUCAUGACAGAAUAAAUUUAUCUGUGUGGAUGUGUGUGUGUGUGUGUGUGUGUGUGUGUGUGUGUGUGUUUUCCUAAAAAAGAGACAAGGUCUCAUUCUAUCCCCCAGGAUGGAGUGCAGUGUCAUGAUCAUAGCUCACUGCAGCCUCGAUCUCCUGGACUCAAAGCAUCUUCCCACCCCAGCCUCCCAGGAAUCUGGGACUACAGGUGUGAACCACUGUGCCGGCUCUGUUGAUUUAAGC